UCCCUGGCAGUCCAGUGGUUAAGACUCCACACUUCCACUGCAGGGGGCACGGGUUCAAUCCCUGGCCAGGGAA
This 73-nucleotide transfer RNA is filed under the name Bos taurus (domestic cattle). It matches the Rfam family "tRNA". From Rfam's summary of the family: Transfer RNA (tRNA) molecules are approximately 80 nucleotides in length. Their secondary structure includes four short double-helical elements and three loops (D, anti-codon, and T loops). Further hydrogen bonds mediate the characteristic L-shaped molecular structure. tRNAs have two regions of fundamental functional importance: the anti-codon, which is responsible for specific mRNA codon recognition, and the 3' end, to which the tRNAs corresponding amino acid is attached (by aminoacyl-tRNA synthetases). tRNAs cope with the degeneracy of the genetic code in two manners: having more than one tRNA (with a specific anti-codon) for a particular amino acid; and 'wobble' base-pairing, i.e. permitting non-standard base-pairing at the 3rd anti-codon position. The record is from Rfam by way of RNAcentral. RNAcentral also lists the same sequence under 5 other names. Lineage: Eukaryota; Metazoa; Chordata; Mammalia; Artiodactyla; Bovidae.